Molecule: ribosomal RNA, 253 nt
Filed under: uncultured bacterium
Lineage: Bacteria
Description: partial 16S ribosomal RNA
Rfam family: Bacterial small subunit ribosomal RNA
Source: RNAcentral
UACAGAGGUCUCGAGCGUUGUUCGGAUUCAUUGGGCGUAAAGGGCGCGUAGGCGGCGGGGUAAGUCUGGUGUGAAAUCUAGGAGCUCAACUCCUAAACUGCACUGGAUACUGCUCUGCUGGAGGACUGGAGAGGAGACUGGAAUUCACGGUGUAGCAGUGAAAUGCGUAGAUAUCGUGAGGAAGACCAGUGGCGAAGGCGGGUCUCUGGACAGUUCCUGACGCUGAGGCACGAAGGCCAGGGGAGCAAACGGG